Long non-coding RNA from Panthera uncia (snow leopard), 1329 nucleotides. RefSeq lists it as uncharacterized. The record is from RefSeq and is a predicted model, not a curated record. The transcript has 3 exons. Lineage: Eukaryota; Metazoa; Chordata; Mammalia; Carnivora; Felidae.
GGAGGACCAAGGAGGGACAAUGCCCUGGCCACAGUGAUCUUGGGAGUUUGAUGGCCUGUGCUUGGGGUCCCCCUGUCAGCCUGGCAGGAGUGGUCUCAGUGGGACGGGCCUGGAGGGGAAGCAAAGGAGGUGGCCCUUCCCAGGCUGGGUCCUCUGGCCCCAGGUCUCUCAGACUCUGCGCGAGCACCUGCCUUUUGCUGCUGGAUUCUAGGAUGUCAUGAUAAAACCCGGAAGCAGCACUGUUUUCUGGAGGGCCAAUGGGCAGCUCUCUUCUUGAAAUGCAUCGCUGGUGAUUUCCCACCACCGCCUUGGCCCCUUGCCUCGUCCAGCCCCCCAAGCAGCUGACUUGUGGCAUCUCUCCCAGCUCCGUCCUCUCUCCAUUCCCGGACCUACAACCCCAACAGCGGCCAGAGGGCGCCUGAGAGCUCCCUCCAGAAGGAACCAACCUUGCUCACACCUUGGUUUCGGACUUUUGGCCUCCUGUCCUGUGGAAGAAUGAAUUACCGUUGUUUCAAGCCACAUAGUCUGUGGCACCUUGUUACGGCAGCCCCAGGAACCUAAAACUUCUGACUUGACAAAAGGUUGGUGCGUUGAAGUUUCGAGAGUCUGAUGAUCUGUCUCAGGGACUUGAAGUUAUACAAUCAAAUGACACGCCCCACCCUCCACCCGAACAGAGGAAAAUUAAGACAAAGCAAAAACCAAAAUGCUUGCAGGUCCCUACCUCACUCAGGAAACGCUGAAGUCCUCCCAGUGGCCCCAGGUCCUGCACCACUGCCUCGUCACCCCCUGCCCUCGCUUCCUCCCACUCACCCCCACUCUGCUCCAGCCUCACUGGGCUCUUGGCUGCUCCUUAAAUAUCUCAGACACACCCCUGCCUCAGGGCCUUUGCACAGGCUGCUCCCUCUGCCUGGAACACCCUUCCCUCCAUAUCCACCUGAAGAAGUGACCUCCUUCAAGUCUUUGCUCAAAUAUCACCUUCUCGAGGAGGCGUUCGCUGUGUUUUAAAAAAAAAAAAUGCCCCAAGGGGCACCUGGGUGGCUCAGUCGGUUGAGCGUCCGACUUCUGCUCAGGUCACGAUCUCACAGCUCGUGAGUUCAAGCCCCACGUCGGGCUCUGUGCUGACAGCUCGGAGCCUGGAGCCUGCUUUGGAUUCUGUGCCUCCCUCUCUCUGCCCCUAACCCACUGGCAUUCUGUCUGUGUCUCUCUCAAAAAUAAACAUUAAAAAAAAGUUUUAAAAAUACCCCAAACUCUCUACCCCCAUGUUUCAUAUUUUCAUCACUCUCCCCAUUAUCUAGUACAUUAGUUGUUUUAUUUAUUUAUCCUUAUUUU